UUUGUAGAAUGAACCGGCGAGUUAUCUUAUCGUGCGAGGUUAAGUGGAAGACACGGAGCCGAAGCGAAAGCGAGUCUGAAUAGGGCGGCAGUACGAUGAGAUAGACCCGAAGCCGUAGUGAUCUAGCCAUGACCAGGUUGAAGUUUGGGUGAAACCAAAUGGAGGACCGAACCGACCCCCGUUGAAAAGUUGGCGGAUGAGUUGUGGCUAGCGGAGAAAUUCCAAUCGAACACGGCGAUAGCUGGUUCUCCCCGAAAUAGCUUUAGGGCUAGCGUCGAAGUAAGGGUAGUGGAGGUAGAGCACUGAAUUCAUGAUGGCGCCGUCAAGGUGUACUGAAUGAAAUCAAACUCCGAAUGCCAUUAUAGCAUCUUCGGCAGUCAGACUGUGGGUGAUAAGGUCCAUGGUCAAAAGGGAAACAGCCCAGAUCAUCAGUUAAGGUCCCAAAAUUACCGCUAAGUGGAAAAGGAUGUGGGGAUGCACAGACAACUAGGAGGUUGGCUUAGAAGCAGCCACCCUUCAAAGAGUGCGUAACAGCUCACUAGUCGAGUGACCCUGCGCCGAAAAUUAACCGGGGCUAAAGCGGUAUACCGAAACUAUGGCAAUGACUCAGGUCAUUGGGUAGGGGAGCGUUCCAUGGGCAUCGAAGCUGUACCGUAAGGAGCAGUGGAGCGCAUGGAAGUGAGAAUGCCGGUGUGAGUAGCGAGAUGCAGGUGAGAAUCCUGCACACCGAUAGACCAAGGAUUCCAGGGGAAGGUUCGUCCGCCCUGGGUAAGUCGGGACCUAAGGCGAGGCUGAAAAGCGUAGUCGAUGGAAAACAGGUUGAUAUUCCUGUACCCGCGCAUCGAGUGAUGGAGUGACAAAGAAGGCUAACCGGACCGGUAAAUGGAUUCCGGACCAAGCGAGGUAGGAGGCAGUCAGGCAAAUCCGGCUGUCAAUCUGAAGGCGUGAUGGGGAGCGAACGGCGCGAGCCAAGUAGCGAAGACGGCGAUGCCAGCUUUCAAGAAAAGCUUCUAGCGUUAAUCGAUGAGCGGCCCGUACCAAAACCGACACAGGUGGUCAAGGCGAGAAGCCUGAGGUGAGCGAGAGAACUGUUGCCAAGGAACUCGGCAAAAUAGCCCCGUACGUUCGCAAGAAGGGGCGCUCGAAAGAGCCGCAGUGAAGAGGCCCAAGCAACUGUUUAACUAAAACACAGCUCUCUGCAAAGUCGCAAGACGAAGUAUAGGGGGUGACGCCUGCCCGGUGCUGGAAGGUUAAGAGGAUAUGUUAGUCGCAAGACGAAGCAUUGAAUUGAAGCCCCAGUGAACGGCGGCCGUAACUAUAACGGUCCUAAGGUAGCGAAAUUCCUUGUCAGGUAAGUUCUGACCCGCACGAAAGGCGUAAUGAUUUGGGCGCUGUCUCGGCAGCAGACUCGGUGAAAUCUUAGUACCUGUGAAGAUGCAGGUUACCCGCAACUAGACGGAAAGACCCCAUGGAGCUUUACUGUAGCCUGAUAUUGAGUUUUGAUCAAGUAUGUACAGGAUAGGUGGGAGACGAAGAAGUUGGGACGUCAGUUUCAAUGGAGUCGACGUUGGGAUACCACUCUUAGUUGAUUGAAAUUCUAACCUGUAUCCAUGAACUGGGUAAGGGACAGUGUCAGGUGGGCAGUUUGACUGGGGCGGUCGCCUCCUAAAGAGUAACGGAGGCGCCCAAAGGUACCCUCAGAUUGGUUGGAAAUCAAUCGACGAGCGCAAAUGCAGAAGGGUGCUUGACUGCAAGACAGACAAGUCGAGCAGGGACGAAAGUCGGGAUUAGUGAUCCGGCGGUGCAGAAUGGAAUGGCCGUCGCUUAACGGAUAAAAGCUACCCUGGGGAUAACAGGCUGAUCUCCCCCAAGAGUUCACAUCGACGGGGAGGUUUGGCACCUCGAUGUCGGCUCAUCGCAUCCUGGAGCUGAAGUCGGUUCCAAGGGUUGGGCUGUUCGCCCAUUAAAGCGGUACGCGAGCUGGGUUCAGAACGUCGUGAGACAGUUCGGUCCCUAUCUGUCGUGGGCGCAGGAAAUUUGAGAAGAGCUGUCCUCAGUACGAGAGGACCGGGAUGGACGCAUCAAUGGUGGACCAGUUGUCACGCCAGUGGCAUAGCUGGGUAGCUAAAUGCGGAAGGGAUAAACGCUGAAGGCAUCUAAGUGUGAAACCCACUUCAAGAUGAGAUUUCCCAUUGCGCAAGCAAGUAAGACCCCUUAAAGACGAUAAGGUAGAUAGGUCAGGAGUGUAAGCAUGGUGACAUGUUAAGCGGACUGAUACUAAUAGGUCGAGGGCUUGACCG
Molecule: ribosomal RNA, 2300 nt
Filed under: human gut metagenome
Description: bacterial LSU rRNA
Rfam family: Bacterial large subunit ribosomal RNA
Source: RNAcentral